This 394-nucleotide RNase P RNA is filed under the name Chloroflexota bacterium. RNAcentral's name for it is "Chloroflexi bacterium (hydrothermal vent metagenome) RNase P RNA component class A". It matches the Rfam family "Bacterial RNase P class A". From Rfam's summary of the family: Ribonuclease P (RNase P) is a ubiquitous endoribonuclease, found in archaea, bacteria and eukarya as well as chloroplasts and mitochondria. Its best characterised activity is the generation of mature 5'-ends of tRNAs by cleaving the 5'-leader elements of precursor-tRNAs. Lineage: Bacteria; Bacillati; Chloroflexota. The record is from RNAcentral.
CAAGUUGGCCGGGCAGUCGCGGCCGGAAUUUCCGGCCGAGGAAAGUCCGCACUCCAUAGAGCACGGCGCCGGCUAACAGCCGGGCGGGGUAACCCGACGGAACAGGGCAACAGAGAGGUAUAUUGCCUAUGCAACUGUAUAGUUGCAGGCGAGGGUGAAACGGUGGUGUAAGAGACCACCGGCAGCGGCAGUAAUGUCACUGGCCAGGCAAACCCCGCCGGGAGCAAGACCAAGCAGGAUGAAAAACGGUUACGGCCGUUUACGGGGUUGCUCGUCCCGUCAGACAUCCGGGUAGGUCGCUUGAGGCCGUUAGUAAUAACGCGCCCAGAUAGAUGACUGCCACCAUUUGCUGCGGCAAGUGGCACAGAAUGCGGCUUACAGGCCGACUUGCGAU